Molecule: long non-coding RNA, 2633 nt
Organism: Phocoena sinus (vaquita)
Lineage: Eukaryota; Metazoa; Chordata; Mammalia; Artiodactyla; Phocoenidae
Source: Ensembl
ACGUGGGUUGUUACUUUGCUCCACAAAGGUGAGGUGAGAGGCCUUGCUGGAAUGGAAUGUUGCAGGGAUCCCCACAGAAUCAUCUUCUAGGGGAAAAAAAAAAAUCGUUGCUGUUCUCUUAUGCACGUUCUCCUAGGGCAAUAAACUUGGGUCAGUGAUCAGAUCUGAACUUGUCCUCAGGCUCUGCUAGACCAGCUUCAUUCAGAGAAGAGGGUGGGUAUUAUGAAAGCUAGUCUGUAAGGGCUAGGUCUUAAACCUUGGGCCUUGUCACACUGAUCCUUCCUGAUUCCCUCUUAAAUCAACUACUCCAUUUCUAUGCUACCUGCAUGUUAGGUCUUUCCAAGCAUUAGCAGAUCCCUCAUUUACUCAGCUUUUACUCCUUCCUUUCGUAGGAGGGUCUUCCUCCAACAGCUGAGAUGGGCCUGAGAGCUCUAUCACCCUUCUCGUCUUUGCCGAAUUCUGCUGCACCUCCCUAGGGGUGGUCCCCACAUGACUGUAGUAAUGAGAAAGCUAGGUGCCCUCUCACCCCAGUUACCACUGCUCCUUCUCCCUGGCAUGUCCACGUCUGUUUUGAAUGAAUCUUCAUUCUCCAGGUGUAUCCCAGAACUUUCUUGUCUUUGUUAAAGACCUACCUCACAGUUUCACAAUUCAACACGGGCACCUGGUUCACUUCUUUCCUUCCUUUACUCUGUCCUUGCCUUCAUAAGGGUUAGGAGGAUGGGGGCUACAAAGGUCUCACGAUCAAUUGCAAAAUCUCUUGGUUAUUUGUUUCUGGAAUGUCUUCUUUGAGAUUUUUACCUCCUUUAUCACCCCAGAAUAGUGUGAACUCUUCAGUUAGGUCUUGCUGUGGUAUGCCAGGAGGAUAGGCUGAGUAAUGAGUGCUUAGAAUAUUAAUUAAUGCUUGGGAGCCACCCCCAGGAACACCAACAUGGGAGCAGAGCUGAGAACUUGAGAGGAUAAGAGUUUGCCAGUGGCUGCCAUGAGCUGAGAAGGUAAACAUGCACCAGAGAGGGCAUCUGGGAUUUUUAUAGGGCUGAAAGCAGAGAUGCUCCUUCUCCACCUAUUCCAGUUAGUUUAGAGGGUCACCAAAACAAAACUUCCAGCCUGGGGUGUGAUAAGCUUUCCUAGCCUGAGUAAAGAAAAGUUCUUGCCCCAUUACUGGUGUCCACAUCCCCCAACACACACAUUUUUUUUCGGGUGGCCAAGUGCUCUCUAGCAUGCACUUAUCACCUUGGACAGGAAAUAAGUUUAAUUUAUACUCAAAACACAUUUUUUCUUUAUCCAGAGGUUUCCAGUUUUAUACUCUUGCCACGUCUGUGCCAAUGCUACCCAUUCUUCUGACCCUUGGUAUUCACUUGUUCCUUCCCUACAAUUGGGUAGAACUUUGUCUUAUUUCAACUUUUGAAAUAAAACACAAAAGUCUACCUCGUGGUGUCUUAUCCAUGAUUGGAAGCUGGGAAGGUGGUGUUGAGCACAUAUAUUUGCUAUAAUGGGAACACAGGUGGCAGCUUAGGAAGCCAAGGCCAUGUCUCACAAGGCAGGAACUAGGGACACUUGAAUCCUUUGUUUUAGCACCUCAGCCAGGAGCACCUGUUCUACCCACAUGAGCACAAAUUCUGCCUUGGAUGCCUCUUGCACAGGAAGGGCCAAGCUUGGAGGUUCAGAGAUAAACUUUGAAGUUUAGAGGCAUAUUUCUCCCCGGCCUGUGGUCUCCUACAUCAAACCAGUCGUACUCACCCUAACACCCAGCCUUCACCUUUAGGCAAGUAUGAAAACCUAUGUUGAAGGAAGAUAAAUACAGACUCUUUUGAAUCUCUAUCAAAUGUGGUUUUUAUUCAACUGACAAGCACUUUUCUACAGCUGCACUUGUGGAACAUCACAUGGCAAAAACAGGAGUUUUUUUCUCUAGACUUUUUUUUCCUUUUUUUACCUUAUUAAAAAUGAGAUUGGUCCUAAAAAUAUAGAAAGAAAUAAAUUUAAAUUCACAAAAAACUGUACAUUAUCAAAAAGUCACUAAAACACCACAUUUGGUUAUAUAAAAAGUCAAGUCCCUUUUGUUGUAAAAGGAACGUGGAAAUUUGUUGGUGUUGAUGGUGUGGUUUCUUCCUGUUUCCAGACUGAUAGGCGAGGGGAAACAAAGGGGUAGGGGUGGGUUUUAUUUACUUUUUUAACUUGCCUUCCCUACCAAAUACUCUUAUUUGUCAAAAAGAGAAAAUCCACCUAGCUCAAGGGGCAGAGUGAAGAUGAGGAAAGGAAAGUGAGAAACGGCCCCUUUGGUCAUGCCCUCCCCCCGCCCCCCAUCAACCCUCACUUCAAAUUGAGGCUAGGACUCCACCCACCCCACCUUAAGAGUGCCUGGUCCCUAGGGAAAGAGAUGGAGCUGGGAGAGGAACACAGAACAGGAACAAUCAAGAUUUCACUCCCCCGUCCACCUAACCUCCAACAGUAGAAUUAAUCUGGAACAUUUUAUAGCAGGGUAAGACUGCCAUGGGGAAAAGAAGAGCCCCCAACUACAACAGUUCCAAAUGUCUGACUAACACAAAGUUUGUUACAGCGCAGUUAUUUAGAUAAAAUAUAAAUAUUUAUGCAUAAUAUAAAGUCAAUUCAAAUAUUCUUCAAUCCACCUCUUAUUU